RNAcentral lists this ribosomal RNA (553 nucleotides) under uncultured crenarchaeote. Its description in RNAcentral is "bacterial SSU rRNA". It matches the Rfam family "Archaeal small subunit ribosomal RNA", at positions 325 to 879 of the family's 1478-position model. The record is from RNAcentral. Lineage: Archaea; Thermoproteati; Thermoproteota.
AUGGGGUGCAGCAGGCGAGAAAACUUUGCAAUGUGCGAAAGCACGACAAGGUUAAUCCGAGUGUUUUCUGCUAAAGAAAUCUUUUGUUAGUUCUAAAACCACUAUCGAAUAAGGGGUGGGCAAGUUCUGGUGUCAGCCGCCGCGGUAAAACCAGCACCUCAAGUGGUCAGGAGGAUUAUUGGGCCUAAAGCAUCCGUAGCCGGCUAUGUUAGUUCUCGGUUAAAUCCAUGUGCUCAACACAUGGGCUGCCGAGAAUACUGUAUAGCUAGGGAGUGGGAGAGGUAGACGGUACUCGGUAGGAAGGGGUAAAAUCCUUUGAUCUAUCGAUGACCACCAGUGGCGAAGGCGGUCUACCAGAACACGUCCGACGGUGAGGGAUGAAAGCUGGGGGAGCAAACCGGAUUAGAUACCCGGGUAGUCCCAGCUGUAAACUAUCCAAACUCAGUGAUCCAUUGGCUUGUGGCCAAUCCAGUGCCGCAGAGAAGUCGUUAAGUUUGCCGCCUGGGAAGUACGUACGCAAGUAUGAAACUUAAAGGAAUUGGCGGGGGAGCAC